GAUGAACGCUGGCGGCGUGCCUAAUACAUGCAAGUCGAGCGAACGGACGAGAAGCUUGCUUCUCUGAUGUUAGCGGCGGACGGGUGAGUAACACGUGGAUAACCUACCUAUAAGGCUGGGAUAACUUCGGGAAACCGGAGCUAAUACCGGAUAAUAUUUUGAACCGCAUGGUUCAAAAGUGAAAGACGGUCUUGCUGUCACUUAUAGAUGGAUCCUCGCUGCAUUAGCUAGUUGGUAAGGUAACGGCUUACCAAGGCAACGAUGCAUAGCCGACCUGAGAGGGUGAUCGGCCACACUGGAACUGAGACACGGUCCAGACUCCUACGGGAGGCAGCAGUAGGGAAUCUUCCGCAAUGGGCGAAAGCCUGACGGAGCAACGCCGCGUGAGUGAUGAAGGUCUUCGGAUCGUAAAACUCUGUUAUUAGGGAAGAACAUAUGUGUAAGUAACUGUGCACAUCUUGACGGUACCUAAUCAGAAAGCCACGGCUAACUACGUGCCAGCAGCCGCGGUAAUACGUAGGUGGCAAGCGUUAUCCGGAAUUAUUGGGCGUAAAGCGCGCGUAGGCGGUUUUUUAAGUCUGAUGUGAAAGCCCACGGCUCAACCGUGGAGGGUCAUUGGAAACUGGAAAACUUGAGUGCAGAAGAGGAAAGUGGAAUUCCAUGUGUAGCAGUGAAAUGCGCAGAGAUAUGGAGGAACACCAGUGGCGAAGGCGACUUUCUGGUCUGUAACUGACGCUGAUGUGCGAAAGCGUGGGGAUCAAACAGGAUUAGAUACCCUGGUAGUCCACGCCGUAAACGAUGAGUGCUAAGUGUUAGGGGGUUUCCGCCCCUUAGUGCUGCAGCUAACGCAUUAAGCACUCCGCCUGGGGAGUACGACCGCAAGGUUGAAACUCAAAGGAAUUGACGGGGACCCGCACAAGCGGUGGAGUAUGUGGUUUAAUUCGAAGCAACGCGAAGAACCUUACCAAAUCUUGACAUCCUUUGACAACUCUAGAGAUAGAGCCUUCCCCUUCGGGGGACAAAGUGACAGGUGGUGCAUGGUUGUCGUCAGCUCGUGUCGUGAGAUGUUGGGUUAAGUCCCGCAACGAGCGCAACCCUUAAGCUUAGUUGCCAUCAUUAAGUUGGGCACUCUAAGUUGACUGCCGGUGACAAACCGGAGGAAGGUGGGGAUGACGUCAAAUCAUCAUGCCCCUUAUGAUUUGGGCUACACACGUGCUACAAUGGACAAUACAAAGGGCAGCGAAACCGCGAGGUCAAGCAAAUCCCAUAAAGUUGUUCUCAGUUCGGAUUGUAGUCUGCAACUCGACUACAUGAAGCUGGAAUCGCUAGUAAUCGUAGAUCAGCAUGCUACGGUGAAUACGUUCCCGGGUCU
RNAcentral lists this ribosomal RNA (1372 nucleotides) under uncultured bacterium. RNAcentral's name for it is "bacterial SSU rRNA". It matches the Rfam family "Bacterial small subunit ribosomal RNA", at positions 28 to 1381 of the family's 1533-position model. The record is from RNAcentral.